This 2888-nucleotide ribosomal RNA is filed under the name Escherichia coli. Its description in RNAcentral is "23S ribosomal RNA". It matches the Rfam family "Bacterial large subunit ribosomal RNA". The record is from RNAcentral. Lineage: Bacteria; Pseudomonadati; Pseudomonadota; Gammaproteobacteria; Enterobacterales; Enterobacteriaceae.
UUAAGCGACUAAGCGUACACGGUGGAUGCCCUGGCAGUCAGAGGCGAUGAAGGACGUGCUAAUCUGCGAUAAGCGUCGGUAAGGUGAUAUGAACCGUUAUAACCGGCGAUUUCCGAAUGGGGAAACCCAGUGUGUUUCGACACACUAUCAUUAACUGAAUCCAUAGGUUAAUGAGGCGAACCGGGGAACUGAAACAUCUAAGUACCCCGAGGAAAGAAAUCAACCGAGAUUCCCCAGUAGCGGCGAGCGAACGGGGAGGAGCCCAGAGCCUGAAUCAGUGUGUGUGUUAGUGGAAGCGUCUGGAAAGGCGCGCGAUACAGGGUGACAGCCCCGUACACAAAAAUGCACAUACUGUGAGCUCGAUGAGUAGGGCGGGACACGUGGUAUCCUGUCUGAAUAUGGGGGGACCAUCCUCCAAGGCUAAAUACUCCUGACUGACCGAUAGUGAACCAGUACCGUGAGGGAAAGGCGAAAAGAACCCCGGCGAGGGAGUGAAAAGAACCUGAAACCGUGUACGUACAAGCAGUGGGAGCCUCUUUAUGGGGUGACUGCGUACCUUUGUAUAAUGGGUCAGCGACUUAUAUUCUGUAGCAAGGUUAACCGAAUAGGGGAGCCGAAGGGAAACCGAGUCUUAACUGGGCGUUAAGUUGCAGGGUAUAGACCCGAAACCCGGUGAUUCAGCCAUGGGCAGGUUGAAGGUUGGGUAACACUAACUGGAGGACCGAACCGACUAAUGUUGAAAAAUUAGCGGAUGACUUGUGGCUGGGGUGAAAGGCCAAUCAAACCGGGAGAUAGCUGGUUCUCCCGAAAGCUAUUUAGGUAGCGCCUCGUGAAUUCAUCUCCGGGGUAGAGCACUGUUUCGGCAAGGGGUCAUCCCGACUUACCAACCCGAUGCAAACUGCGAAUACCGGAGAAUGUUAUCACGGGAGACACACGGCGGGUGCUAACGUCCGUCGUGAAGAGGAAACAACCCAGACCGCCAGCUAAGGUCCCAAAGUCAUGGUUAAGUGGGAAACGAUGUGGGAAGGCCCAGACAGCCAGGAUGUUGGCUUAGAAGCAGCCAUCAUUUAAAGAAAGCGUAAUAGCUCACUGGUCGAGUCGGCCUGCGCGGAAGAUGUAACGGGGCUAAACCAUGCACCGAAGCUGCGGCAGCGACGCUUAUGCGUUGUUGGGUAGGGGAGCGUUCUGUAAGCCUGCGAAGGUGUGCUGUGAGGCAUGCUGGAGGUAUCAGAAGUGCGAAUGCUGACAUAAGUAACGAUAAAGCGGGUGAAAAGCCCGCUCGCCGGAAGACCAAGGGUUCCUGUCCAACGUUAAUCGGGGCAGGGUGAGUCGACCCCUAAGGCGAGGCCGAAAGGCGUAGUCGAUGGGAAACAGGUUAAUAUUCCUGUACUUGGUGUUACUGCGAAGGGGGGACGGAGAAGGCUAUGUUGGCCGGGCGACGGUUGUCCCGGUUUAAGCGUGUAGGCUGGUUUUCCAGGCAAAUCCGGAAAAUCAAGGCUGAGGCGUGAUGACGAGGCACUACGGUGCUGAAGCAACAAAUGCCCUGCUUCCAGGAAAAGCCUCUAAGCAUCAGGUAACAUCAAAUCGUACCCCAAACCGACACAGGUGGUCAGGUAGAGAAUACCAAGGCGCUUGAGAGAACUCGGGUGAAGGAACUAGGCAAAAUGGUGCCGUAACUUCGGGAGAAGGCACGCUGAUAUGUAGGUGAAGCGACUUGCUCGUGGAGCUGAAAUCAGUCGAAGAUACCAGCUGGCUGCAACUGUUUAUUAAAAACACAGCACUGUGCAAACACGAAAGUGGACGUAUACGGUGUGACGCCUGCCCGGUGCCGGAAGGUUAAUUGAUGGGGUUAGCGGUAACGCGAAGCUCUUGAUCGAAGCCCGGUAAACGGCGGCCGUAACUAUAACGGUCCUAAGGUAGCGAAAUUCCUUGUCGGGUAAGUUCCGACCUGCACGAAUGGCGUAAUGAUGGCGGGCUGUCUCCACCCGAGACUCAGUGAAAUUGAACUCGCUGUGAAGAUGCAGUGUACCCGCGGCAAGACGGAAAGACCCCGUGAACCUUUACUAUAGCUUGACACUGAACAUUGAGCCUUGAUGUGUAGGAUAGGUGGGAGGCUUUGAAGUGUGGACGCCAGUCUGCAUGGAGCCGACCUUGAAAUACCACCCUUUAAUGUUUGAUGUUCUAACGUUGGCCCGUAAUCCGGGUUGCGGACAGUGUCUGGUGGGUAGUUUGACUGGGGCGGUCUCCUCCUAAAGAGUAACGGAGGAGCACGAAGGUUGGCUAAUCCUGGUCGGACAUCAGGAGGUUAGUGCAAUGGCAUAAGCCAGCUUGACUGCGAGCGUGACGGCGCGAGCAGGUGCGAAAGCAGGUCAUAGUGAUCCGGUGGUUCUGAAUGGAAGGGCCAUCGCUCAACGGAUAAAAGGUACUCCGGGGAUAACAGGCUGAUACCGCCAAGAGUUCAUAUCGACGGCGGUGUUUGGCACCUCGAUGUCGGCUCAUCACAUCCUGGGGCUGAAGUAGGUCCCAAGGGUAUGGCUGUUCGCCAUUUAAAGUGGUACGCGAGCUGGGUUUAGAACGUCGUGAGACAGUUCGGUCCCUAUCUGCCGUGGGCGCUGGAGAACUGAGGGGGGCUGCUCCUAGUACGAGAGGACCGGAGUGGACGCAUCACUGGUGUUCGGGUUGUCAUGCCAAUGGCACUGCCCGGUAGCUAAAUGCGGAAGAGAUAAGUGCUGAAAGCAUCUAAGCACGAAACUUGCCCCGAGAUGAGUUCUCCCUGAGACUUUAAGUCUCCUGAAGGAACGUUGAAGACGACGACGUUGAUAGGCCGGGUGUGUAAGCGCAGCGAUGCGUUGAGCUAACCGGUACUAAUGAACCGUGAGGCUUAACCU